GGAGAGGUACCGAAGUGGUCAUAACGGGCUCGCCUGGAGAGCGAGUUGGGGGCAAAACUCCCACGUGGGUUCGAAUCCCACCCUCUCCGCCA
Molecule: transfer RNA, 92 nt
Filed under: bacterium
Lineage: Bacteria
Description: tRNA-Ser
Rfam family: tRNA
About the family: Transfer RNA (tRNA) molecules are approximately 80 nucleotides in length. Their secondary structure includes four short double-helical elements and three loops (D, anti-codon, and T loops).
Source: RNAcentral